AAGAGCAACAUCAUUUGGAGGCAGUUUGAUGGGCAUGAGCCUGAGAACUACUGGUACAGGGUCUGCGAGGGGCGAGCUGCCAAGGUCAUCCAGAGGCCUUGGUAUGCUAUCUGGAAGUCCAAGAGGCUGAUGAACAUUGUAACUGAGAUCGCAGGCAGGAUGGAUUGGGACUAUGAUGGUUUGCAUGUGGUCCGAGGGUGGAAGGCAAUGAAUAAGAAGAUGUAUCCGAACUUGGACGCGGACACAUCACCCGACGCGAUUGUAGAUAAGGUGACCAAGCUUAUCAAGCCGUGGCGGAACCUCUACAUCGCAACCAACGAGCCAUUUUACAACUACUUCGACAAGCUCAGGUCACACUACCAUGUGCAUUUGCUUGAGGAUUAUAAGGAGCUUUGGUCGAAUACGAGCGAGUGGUACAACGAGACGACAGCGAUCAAUAGUGGGAAGGACGUGCCGUUCGAUGCGUACAUGAAGGUGAUUGUGGACACCGAGGUAUUCUACAGAUCAAAGGCGAAGGUUGAAACGUUUAACAACCUGACGAGAGAUUGCAAAGAUGGAAUCAACACGUGCAAUUUGUGACACAUGAGUUCAUGGUGUGAUAAUUAUUGGUGUCCAUAUACUCCCAGUGGCUGGCGCAAUGGAACUUGGGCGGACUUCAUCCAGGGUUUGUCAUAUUGGGCAUAAUAUCUUGAUGCCGCUUGUCAUAGCAUGCUCAGUUGAUUGUAUUACAUGUGCAUCUAAAUUAUGUGCCCUCCAUUCUUUUUGUAUAAUUUACCACUGUGCUCAAACCUGCAAAAUCCAAAUAGUAACACUCAGUGAGCCUUUUGCGGUGUCUCUACUUCUUAGUGUCUGGACUUCUGCAGUAUCUCUGAGUCCCCAUUGGUUAGCUUGGGGUUUCUCUUCAUUUAUUGUAUGUUUCCAUAUGUGUGUUGCUAAAUAUUCUCUAGUCGGAAAUGAACUUUCAGAAAAUUAUACAUUUUACUGUCAAAAGUUAGAACAGAGGUCACCAUGGCCAUCAGAUUACCAUGUAUGCCGUGUUUGUUGUCAUAAGUAACUUACUU
Molecule: long non-coding RNA, 1061 nt
Filed under: Triticum aestivum (bread wheat)
Lineage: Eukaryota; Viridiplantae; Streptophyta; Magnoliopsida; Poales; Poaceae
Description: long non-coding RNA (TAES_LNC022066)
Source: RNAcentral